UUGGUGCAAAGCAGAACCUUAGCCUCCAA
Molecule: non-coding RNA, 29 nt
Filed under: Rattus norvegicus (Norway rat)
Lineage: Eukaryota; Metazoa; Chordata; Mammalia; Rodentia; Muridae
Source: RNAcentral